CUAUGCGCCUUGCCAGCCCGCUCAGAAACUCAAAGGAAUUGACGGGGGCCCGCACAAGCGGAGGAGCAUGUGGUUUAAUUCGAUGAUACGCGAGGAACCUUACCUGGGCUUAAAUGCUUAAUGACGUACUGGGAAACUGGUAUUUCUUCGGACAUUUUGCAAGGUGCUGCAUGGUUGUCGUCAGCUCGUGCCGUGAGGUGUCGGGUUAAGUCCCAUAACGAGCGCAACCCCUAUUGUUAGUUGCCAUCAGGUCAUGCUGGGGACUCUAACAAAACUGCCCGCGUAAGAGUGGAGGAAGGUGGGGAUGACGUCAAAUCAGCACGGCCCUUACGUCCAGGGCUACACACGUGCUACAAUGGCCGGUACAGAGGGCAGCCACUUGGUGACAAGGAGCAAAUCUCAAAAGCCGGUCUCAGUUCGGAUCGGAGUCUGCAACUCGACUCCGUGAAGUUGGAUUCGCUAGUAAUCGUAGAUCAGCAAUGCUACGGUGAAUACGUUCCCGGGCCUU
This 508-nucleotide ribosomal RNA is filed under the name uncultured Bacteroidota bacterium. RNAcentral's name for it is "bacterial SSU rRNA". It matches the Rfam family "Bacterial small subunit ribosomal RNA", at positions 903 to 1382 of the family's 1533-position model. Lineage: Bacteria; Pseudomonadati; Bacteroidota. The record is from RNAcentral.